Molecule: ribosomal RNA, 253 nt
Filed under: uncultured prokaryote
Description: partial 16S ribosomal RNA
Rfam family: Bacterial small subunit ribosomal RNA
Source: RNAcentral
ACGAAGGGUGCGAACGUUGCUCGGAAUCAUUGGGCGUAAAGCGCACGUAGGCGGCUUCGCAAGUCGGAUGUGAAAUCCCACGGCUUAACCGUGGAACUGCCUGCCAGACUGCAUGGCUUGAGACCAGGAGAGGUGAGUGGAAUUCCCAGUGUAGCGGUGAAAUGCAUAGAUAUUGGGAGGAACACCAGUGGCGAAGGCGGCUCACUGGACUGGUACUGACGCUGAGGCGCGAAAGCGUGGGGAGCAAACAGGA